RNAcentral lists this ribosomal RNA (226 nucleotides) under uncultured bacterium. RNAcentral's name for it is "partial 16S ribosomal RNA". It matches the Rfam family "Bacterial small subunit ribosomal RNA", at positions 1275 to 1502 of the family's 1533-position model. The record is from RNAcentral.
CACAAACCAUCCCCCAGUUCGGAUUGCAGGCUGCAACCCGCCUGCAUGAAGUCGGAAUCGCUAGUAAUCGCAGGUCAGCAUACUGCGGUGAAUACGUUCCCGGGCCUUGUACACACCGCCCGUCACACCACGGAAGUCAUUCACGCCCAAAGCCGGUGGGCCAACCGCAAGGAGGCAGCCGUCUAAGGCGGGGGCGUUGCUGGGUGAAGUCGUAACAAGGUAGCCG